GUUGUAUAGUCAAGUAAUUAAGUGCAUGUGGUGGAUGCCUUGGCAGUCAGAGGCGAUGAAAGACGUGAUAGCCUGCGAAAAGCUCCGGGGAGGCGGCAAAUAUCCUUUGAUCCGGAGAUGUCUGAAUGGGGGAACCCACCUACUUUAAGGUAGGUAUUGCAACAUGAAUACAUAGUGUUGCAAGGCGAACGAGGGGAAGUGAAACAUCUCAGUACCCUUAGGAAAAGAAAUCAAUUGAGAUUCCCUCAGUAGCGGCGAGCGAACGGGGAUCAGCCC
Molecule: ribosomal RNA, 276 nt
Filed under: Acinetobacter baumannii
Lineage: Bacteria; Pseudomonadati; Pseudomonadota; Gammaproteobacteria; Moraxellales; Moraxellaceae
Description: partial 23S ribosomal RNA
Rfam family: Bacterial large subunit ribosomal RNA
Source: RNAcentral